This 1980-nucleotide ribosomal RNA is filed under the name marine sediment metagenome. Its description in RNAcentral is "bacterial LSU rRNA". It matches the Rfam family "Bacterial large subunit ribosomal RNA", at positions 3 to 2020 of the family's 2925-position model. The record is from RNAcentral.
UCAAGCAACUAAGCGCAUACGGUGGAUGCCUUGGCAGUCAGAGGCGAUGAAAGACGUGGAAGCCUGCGAUAAGGCUCGGGGAGCUGGCAAACAAGCUGUGAUCCGGGCAUUUCUGAAUGGGGAAACCCACCGACUUUCGGGUCGGUACCUUACACUGAAUCCAUAGGUGUAAGGGGCGAACCGGGGGAACUGAAACAUCUAAGUACCCCGAGGAAAAGAAAUCAACCGAGAUUCCCUAAGUAGCGGCGAGCGAACGGGGACUAGCCCUUAAGCUAGACAACUGGUAGGAGAAGGCUCUGGAAAGUGCCGCCAUAGUGGGUGAUAGCCCCGUAUCCGAAACCUGAGUCUGGUGAAAUCGAGUAGGACGGGACACGUGAUAUCCUGUCUGAACAUGGGGGGACCAUCCUCCAAGGCUAAAUACUCCUGACUGACCGAUAGUGAACCAGUACCGUGAGGGAAAGGCGAAAAGAACCCCUGUGAGGGGAGUGAAAUAGAUCCUGAAACCGUAUGCGUACAAGCAGUCGGAGCGGACUUGUUCCGUGACGGCGUACCUUUUGUAUAAUGGGUCAGCGACUUAUGUUCAGUGGCGAGGUUAACCGUUUAGGGGAGCCGUAGGGAAACCGAGUCUGAAUAGGGCGAUUUAGUCGCUGGGCAUAGACCCGAAACCGGGCGAUCUAUCCAUGAGCAGGUUGAAGGUGCCGUAACAGGCACUGGAGGACCGAACCCACUGUCGUUGAAAAGCCAGGGGAUGACUUGUGGAUCGGAGUGAAAGGCUAAUCAAGCCCGGAGAUAGCUGGUUCUCCCCGAAAGCUAUUUAGGUAGCGCCUCGGACGAAUACCACAGGGGGUAGAGCACUGUUUCGGCUAGGGGGUCAUCCCGACUUACCAACCCGAUGCAAACUCCGAAUACCUGUGAGUACUAUCCGGGAGACACACGGCGGGUGCUAACGUCCGUCGUGAAGAGGGAAACAACCCAGACCGCCAGCUAAGGUCCCCAAGUACCAGUUAAGUGGGAAACGAUGUGGGAAGGCUCAGACAGCUAGGAGGUUGGCUUAGAAGCAGCCAUCCUUUAAAGAAAGCGUAAUAGCUCACUAGUCGAGUCGGCCUGCGCGGAAGAUGUAACGGGGCUCAAACUGGUCACCGAAGCUGCGGCUGCAUACUUUGUAUGCGGGGUAGGGGAGCGUUCUGUAAGCCUGCGAAGGUGUGUUGAGAAGCAUGCUGGAGGUAUCAGAAGUGCGAAUGCUGACAUGAGUAACGACAAUGCGGGUGAAAAACCCGCACGCCGGAAGACCAAGGGUUCCUGCGCAACGCUAAUCGGCGCAGGGUGAGUCGGCCCCUAAGGCGAGACCGAAAGGUGUAGUCGAUGGGAAACGGGUUAAUAUUCCCGUACCUUGGAUAGCUGCGAUGGAGAGACGGAGAAGGCUAGGUGAGCCGGGCGACGGUUGUCCCGGUUUAAGCGAGUAGGGAGUGGACUUAGGCAAAUCCGGGUCCACAAUCCCGAGACGUGACGACGACUGCUCAUAGAGCGGGAAGUCAUUGAUGCCAUGCUUCCAGGAAAAUCUUCUAAGCUUCAGGCUAUUCGAGACCGUACCCCAAACCGACACAGGUGGUCAGGUAGAGAAUACCAAGGCGCUUGAGAGAACUCGGGUAAAGGAACUAGGCAAAAUGGUGCCGUAACUUCGGGAGAAGGCACGCUGGCAGUAAGUGAAGCCCCUGCGGGUGGAGCUGAGACCAGUCGAAGAUACCAGGCCCCUGCGACUGUUUAUUAAAAACACAGCACUGUGCAAACACGAAAGUGGACGUAUACGGUGUGACGCCUGCCCGGUGCCGGAAGGUUAAUUGAUGGGGUUAGUCUUCGGACGAAGCUCUUGAUCGAAGCCCCGGUAAACGGCGGCCGUAACUAUAACGGUCCUAAGGUAGCGAAAUUCCUUGUCGGGUAAGUUCCGACCUGCACGAAUGGUGUAACCAUGGCCACGCUGUC